CCUACGGGCGGCUGCAGUGGGGAAUAUUGGACAAUGGGGGCAACCCUGAUCCAGCCAUGCCGCGUGUGUGAAGAAGGCCCUCGGGUUGUAAAGCACUUUCAGUGAGGAAGAACGCCUGGUGGUUAAUACCCAUCAGGAAAGACAUCACUCACAGAAGAAGCACCGGCUAACUCCGUGCCAGCAGCCGCGGUAAUACGGAGGGUGCGAGCGUUAAUCGGAAUUACUGGGCGUAAAGCGCGCGUAGGUGGCUUGAUAAGCCGGUUGUGAAAGCCCCGGGCUCAACCUGGGAACGGCAUCCGGAACUGUCGAGCUAGAGUGCAGGAGAGGAAGGUAGAAUUCCCGGUGUAGCGGUGAAAUGCGUAGAGAUCGGGAGGAAUACCAGUGGCGAAGGCGGCCUUCUGGACUGACACUGACACUGAGGUGCGAAAGCGUGGGUAGCAAACAGGAUUAGAUACCCUGGUAGUC
Molecule: ribosomal RNA, 465 nt
Filed under: Vreelandella stevensii
Lineage: Bacteria; Pseudomonadati; Pseudomonadota; Gammaproteobacteria; Oceanospirillales; Halomonadaceae
Description: partial 16S ribosomal RNA
Rfam family: Bacterial small subunit ribosomal RNA
Source: RNAcentral